AGAGUUUGAUCCUGGCUCAGGGUUAACGCUGGCGGUGUGCAUAAUACAUGCAAGUCGUGCGGUCUUUAAGGCAGCGGCGAACGGGUGAGUAACACGUUGGUAUCUCCCCCAGACACAGGGAUAACCAACCGAAAGGUUGGCUAAUACCGGAUGGUCCCGAAAGGGUAAAGCUACGGCGGUCUGGGAAGAACCUGCGGCCUAUCAGCUUGUUGGUGAGGUAAUGGCUCACCAAGGCUAUGACGGGUAGCUGGUCUGAGAGGAUGAUCAGUCACAAUGGAACUGAGAUACGGUCCAUACUCCUACGGGAGGCAGCAGUAGGGAAUCUUCCGCAAUGGGCGCAAGCCUGACGGAGCAACACCGCGUGAAGGAUGAAGCCCCUCGGGGUGUAAACUUCUUUUCUGAAGGAAGAACUCUGACGGUACUUUAGGAAUAAGCACCGACUAACUCCGUGCCAGCAGUCGCGGUAAGACGGAGGGUGCAAGCGUUACCCGGAAUCACUGGGCGUAAAGCGUCUGUAGGCGGUUUAAUAAGUCAGAAGUGAAAGCCUCCGGCCCAACCGGGGAAUUGUUUCUGAAACUAUUAAACUAGAGGGAGGAAGAGGUGAGCAGAAUUCGGUGAGUAGGAGUAAAAUCCGUUGAUUUACCGAGGAAUGCUAAAAGCGAAGGCAGCUCACUGGUCCUUUCCUGACGCUGAGAGACGAAAGCGUGGGUAGCGAACGGGAUUAGAUACCCCGGUAGUCCACGCCGUAAACUAUGGAUACUCGGUAUUGGCACUAACUUUAUGGAAGUGUCAGUGCUUCAGCUAACGCGUUAAGUAUCCCGCCUGGGGAGUACGGUCGCAAGAUUAAAACUCAAAGGAAUAGACGGGGGCCCACACAAGCGGUGGAGCAUCUGGUUUAAUUCGACACUAAGCGAGGAACCUCACCUGGAUUUGACAUCCCGGGAAUCUUUCCGAAAGGAGAGAGUGCCGUAAGGAACCCGGUGACAGGUGCUGCAUGGUUGUCGUCAGCUCGUGCCUUGAGGUGUUCGGUUAAGUCCGUAAACGAGCGCAACCCUUGCCCUAUGUUGCAUAUUUCUUAGGGGACUGCCGGCUCAAAGUCGGAGGAAGGUAAGGAUGACGUCAAAUCAGCAUGGCCCUUAUAUCCAGGGCGACACAGGUGCUACAAUGGCCGGUACAACGGGUCGCCAAGCCGCAAGGUGGAGCUAAUCCCUUAAAACCGGUCCAAGUUCGGAUCGGGGUCUGCAACUCGACCCCGUGAAGCUGGAAUCGCUAGUAACCGCGCAUCAGCCAUGGCGCGGUGAAUAUGUUCCUGGGCCUUGUACUCACCGCCCGUCAAGUUAUGGAAGCUGGGGGCGCCCGAAGUCCCUCUUUAGAGGGCCCACGGUGAAACCAGUGACUGGAACUAAGUCGUAACAAGGUA
RNAcentral lists this ribosomal RNA (1420 nucleotides) under metagenome. RNAcentral describes it as "bacterial SSU rRNA". It matches the Rfam family "Bacterial small subunit ribosomal RNA". The record is from RNAcentral.